CUACUGGGGUAUCUAAUCCUGUUCGCUACCCAUGCUUUCGAGCCUCAGCGUCAGUUGCAGACCAGAGAGCCGCCUUCGCCACUGGUGUUCUUCCAUAUAUCUACGCAUUCCACCGCUACACAUGGAGUUCCACUCUCCUCUUCUGCACUCAAGAAAAACAGUUUCCGAUGCAGUUCCUCGGUUAAGCCGAGGGCUUUCACAUCAGACUUAUUCUUCCGCCUGCGCUCGCUUUACGCCCAAUAAAUCCGGACAACGCUUGCCACCUACGUAUUACCGCGGCUGCUGGCAC
RNAcentral lists this ribosomal RNA (289 nucleotides) under uncultured Lactobacillus sp. RNAcentral describes it as "partial 16S ribosomal RNA". The record is from RNAcentral. Lineage: Bacteria; Bacillati; Bacillota; Bacilli; Lactobacillales; Lactobacillaceae.